Oncorhynchus tshawytscha (Chinook salmon) is the source of this 425-nucleotide long non-coding RNA. NCBI's taxonomy places the organism in Eukaryota, Metazoa, Chordata, Actinopteri, Salmoniformes, Salmonidae. The record is from Ensembl.
GUUUUCAGGUUCCAGGUUGGAUGGUGUUUUCAGGUUCCAGGUUGGAUGGUGUUUUCAGUUCCAGGUUGGAUGAUGUUUUCAGGUUCCAGGUUGGAUGGUGUUUUCAGUUCCAGGUUGGAUGGUGUUUUCAGUUCCAGGUUGGAUGGUGUUUUCAAGUUCCAGGUUGGAUGGUGUUUUCAGGUUCCAGGUUGGAUGGUGUUUUCAGGUUCCAGGUUGGAUGGUGUUUUCAGUUCCAGGUUGGAUGGUGUUUUCAGUUCCAGGUUGGAUGGUGAUUUCAGGUUCCAGGUUGGAUGGUGUUUUCAGGAUCCAGGUUGGAUGGUGUUUUCAGGUUCCAGGUUGGAUGGUGUUUUCAGGUUCCAGGUUGGAUGGUGUUUUCAGGAUCCAGGUUGGAUGGUGUUUUCAGGUUCCAGGUUGGAUGGUGUUUU